Molecule: non-coding RNA, 28 nt
Filed under: Homo sapiens (human)
Lineage: Eukaryota; Metazoa; Chordata; Mammalia; Primates; Hominidae
Source: RNAcentral
UGAUAGGUGAAAAAAUAUGUGCAGAAGA